Molecule: ribosomal RNA, 465 nt
Filed under: Vreelandella stevensii
Lineage: Bacteria; Pseudomonadati; Pseudomonadota; Gammaproteobacteria; Oceanospirillales; Halomonadaceae
Description: partial 16S ribosomal RNA
Rfam family: Bacterial small subunit ribosomal RNA
Source: RNAcentral
CCUACGGGUGGCUGCAGUGGGGAAUAUUGGACAAUGGGCGAAAGCCUGAUCCAGCCAUGCCGCGUGUGUGAAGAAGGCCUUCGGGUUGUAAAGCACUUUCAGUGGGGAAGAAAGCCUUGGGGCUAAUACCCUCGAGGAAGGACAUCACCAACAGAAGAAGCACCGGCUAACUCCGUGCCAGCAGCCGCGGUAAUACGGAGGGUGCGAGCGUUAAUCGGAAUUACUGGGCGUAAAGCGCGCGUAGGCGGUCUGAUAAGCCGGUUGUGAAAGCCCCGGGCUCAACCUGGGAACGGCAUCCGGAACUGUCAGGCUAGAGUGCAGGAGAGGAAGGUAGAAUUCCCGGUGUAGCAGUGAAAUGCGUAGAGAUCGGGAGGAAUACCAGUGGCGAAGGCGGCCUUCUGGACUGACACUGACGCUGAGGUGCGAAAGCGUGGGUAGCAAACAGGAUUAGAUACCCUUGUAGUC